CCAAUCCUUGAUUUCAGGGAACACAAAAUCAAAUUGGAGACUAGAGACACAUGAGGGCGUAAUUGAGAAGAUAAGAGAAUAUAUGAUAGAUAAUGAAUGAGCAGCAAUUCAGAGUCGUGAAAACACUCUUUUUUUUUGUUUUUUUGGUGAGGAAGCUUGGCCCUGAGCUAGCAUCUAUUGCCAAUCUUCCUCUUUUUUUUUUUUCUCCCCAAAGCCCCAGUGCAUAGUUGUAUAUCCUAGUUAUAAGUCCUUCUAAUUCUUAUACCUGGGAUGCCACCACAGCAUGGCUUGAUGAGCGGCGCUAGGUCCACACCCAGGAUCCGAACCGGUGAACCCUGGGCCACUGAAGCAGAGUGAACUGAUCUGAAGGUUGACGCCCAUCAGUCUACAUGAGACUUUAUUCCACAGAUAACAGACAACCGUGGAGGAUUUUCAGCGUAGUAAUUGUGCAGUGUCAAGAUGACCCUGAUAACAAGAGCAGUGACGCUUUAUUGACUGGACCAAGUGCCUUGUGUGUGUCAACUUGUUCAACUCUCAUCAUCUAAAGAUCGGGUAAUAUUAGCUCCAUCUGUAUUGACUGAAGCUCUAAGAGGCUAAGGAAAUUACUCAAAUCACACAGUUAUCAAACGGCUUAGCCAAGACUUGAACCCUGGUGUGUUUUAAUUCAAUUUCUGUACUUCCCUCCCUCGGGGAUUCACUGGUGGUGACAAGAAGCAUGGACAGGACAACACUUGGACCAUUUGCAGCCCUUACGCUUGGGUGUCUGAAAUAUGAAAAUGCAGAUUUGCCAAUCUGUGACUCAAGCAGAGACUUAGUGAUGAAAAGACAUACACUUCCUCUCACCAUGUGUUUUCAACACUGCCUCUCCCGAGCCUGGGACCCCUCCAAGGAUGAAUUGCUUGGAAUAUGAGGACAAAAUGGAGAAGUGUUCCGUCCAUUACUGUAAGAUCAAGUCUGACUUCAUCUCCGUCUUCAAUUAAUCAUUCUCAAUCAGAUAACUCCAAGAGGUGUCAGGUUUUGCUCGAUGAACUCAAAAGGAAAAUCUGUUUCCUAUCCUCUUCAGACUUACUUAUCUGAAUAUUUGCGUUUAGUAUUUGACCAAUGCUAAUGUCUACUGUUGGGUGUCGUGAUAGUAAACCCACAAAUUCUUUCCAUCUUUAGACAAAUGUUUCACUGUGUAUUAAUUUUGAUUCAUCUCAAUAAUGGUGAUAAUAUAACAUUCAUUUGAGGUUUCGGUAGCUAGUACUUGCAUCUUGACACAAAUUGCUUUAUAAUUCAGUCUUUAUUUUCUGGUUGCCUGAAAUAGUAUCCUCAGUAGCUAAGGCCUUUCGUCAAAAAACUGCUCCCAAAUAUUGUGUUCUAAUGCCGCUUUAUUUGCUGUGGAGCAGAGUUUUAGUGAACUCAUGGAAGGUUUGAAAUCCAACGUCCAUCCACUGCUGAACCACCGGGAGCAAUAAAUGGCCUUUUCCUGUUGGUGAUUGAAUAACAGAGUGCAGCUGAGGCAUCUCGUAAUCACCAGGACCAAAUAUGCUACUGAAUGAAUUCUCCUACUGUGGGAGAAAUCUUUCUAACACACAGGAGGAAAGGAGGAAAGAAACCAGCCUCUCAAAGCUGUGGGCUGUGGCAGGACCGUGAUGGUUAUCUUCCUGGGGGAUCAUCAACAUCCCCUAAAGGUGGAAUGACUGGCUCAGCUGAAUGGGCCAGGGAACACGAAUCUGAAAUCAAACGUUGGUUGAAGGGCACAGUCAAUGAGGAAAGGCAGCGGAUGUAUGUGGACAAUCACGUGUGCCGGGGUGUAAGUUUGGUUCAUUUGGAAUUGAGAGCAGCUGAAUCUCCUUGUUGCUCAGUGAUCAACACAUCUUCUGGGAAAACCAUCCCGUUUCAGACAACUUCCAGCCUGAGGAUUCGGCAGGACUCUCUCCCUCUCACAUAAUUUCACUUCCUUAGCGUGUCACUGGAUGAGCAGCGUCAGCCUCCUGUGGAGCUCAUUAGAAAUGCGGGCUCUCAGGCUCCAUUGCAGACCUGUGGCAUCAGAAUCUGCUUUUUAGUAGGAUUCCAAGGCCGCUACAGCAGACAGAGCUUCCAGGCCGUCUACACUAUUGCCACAGCUCUCAUAGACUCCCCAGGCCUUGACCGUGAAGGAUGACAAGUGCUCAGUUGAUGGAGACGGGUGGAGGGGGCAUGGUCUGGGCCAGGGGGCUGUCACCAAGGAAGGGAUAUAGAAGCUUUCACUCCAGUGGCUAAAGGGACACUUGCAAUCUUGUCCUCGUCUGGGCUGGCAUUUGUGUCCAAAGGUCCACCCAGCACAGUCUGACGCAGGCCUGGUUAGCAGAGGUCUCCCUGAGAGGGAUCUCAUUGUCGUGAUCUACAGGAGCCAGGAAGAGGAGCCAGCCCUCGGAGGGGGCUGGUCAGCUGGGGCCAUGACAACAGGCCGCACUCAAAGGAACAGGUCCCCUUCAGCUCCAAAAGAUUGGCGUCAUCUGAGAAUGUGGACCCAGCGUGGGCAGAUUUUUCUAGUGUCUAGAAGUGACUGUGCAAACCCAAAACAAAACUAAAAAGACAUGUUUGUGGGCCACCAAGAACCUCUGGUAUGAAGUAAAUUAUACAGGCAUUGGACAGUAACAACCCAUCCAAGGGAGCUGUGGGCGGAGGUGUGGCAUCUGCUCAUUCCUGUUGUAGGGAGGUGAGCUCUACCACGGGGCAGUGGAGUGAACAAUGCCCGGAGAUUAUCCAAAACCCUUUGCUUUAAUUUUCCGCUCACCCAACAGACUUCUGCUUACUAAUUCAGGUUUACAACAAAGUUUAAAACCAGCAAGGGGGGGAUCUGGAUAAGGCACUAUACCUAUUUCGGUCCCCGGAAAGGGCUAUUCCUGCAUAUCAAUAAAUCAGCAUUCUGAUUUCCUACUGACCUCUUUGCUGAAUUUGUCUGCCUUGUAGAGCUUUGGGCAGCUCUGGGUAAGCUAACGAAAUAAAAUUCUGGUGCUGAAAAGCUGUUUGUGACCCUGAUCAACAGUGACCUAGGUUUGGUCACUGCUCCCUCUCCAGACACCAACCAGUGGGCUAUCUCUCUGUGAAUGUGGCAGGCACCAUUUUGCUGGGGAAGGAGGUUAAAUCUUCAGCCUUGUCAUAGACUCAGCUUUGUAAUUCAAGACUCUUUUCUCUCAUCCUUUGAUUUUCAGCCCCCAGACUUUUCUCUCCAUGUCCUUGCCCCCCGGCACUUCCAAUUGUCUAGCAACUAACUGUAUUUGGGCAUUCCCUGUCUUCCCAAAUUAUCUUUACUCUUCUUCCUUACUUCUUCAUCCUUCUCUUGUUUUAUUCCUUUCAUUACUUUUUGUUCUUUUAUUUUGCAAACUCACCUGCUUCCUCAGUGAUCUUUUUAAGAUCCCAUAUGUUACAGAUUCAUGAGGAUGGAAACAUUCCUUUAGAGCUGGGCUGACCAAUGUGGUAGCCGCUAGCUACACGUGAUUAUCGAACAUGUGAAAUGUGGCUUGUCUGAAAUGAGACGUGUGGUAAGCGUAAAAC
Molecule: long non-coding RNA, 3522 nt
Organism: Equus caballus (horse)
Lineage: Eukaryota; Metazoa; Chordata; Mammalia; Perissodactyla; Equidae
Source: Ensembl